UACGAAGGGGGCUAGCGUUGUUCGGAAUUACUGGGCGUAAAGCGCACGUAGGCGGUCUUUUAAGUCGGGGGUGAAAUCCUGGAGCUCAACUCCAGAACUGCCUUUGAUACUGAGGAUCUUGAGUUCGGGAGAGGUGAGUGGAACUGCGAGUGUAGAGGUGAAAUUCGUAGAUAUUCGCAAGAACACCAGUGGCGAAGGCGGCUCACUGGCCCGAUACUGACGCUGAGGCACGAAAGCGUGGGGAGCAAACAGGGAU
Molecule: ribosomal RNA, 256 nt
Filed under: uncultured bacterium
Lineage: Bacteria
Description: partial 16S ribosomal RNA
Rfam family: Bacterial small subunit ribosomal RNA
Source: RNAcentral